RNAcentral lists this transfer RNA (76 nucleotides) under Deltaproteobacteria bacterium. RNAcentral's name for it is "tRNA-Lys". It matches the Rfam family "tRNA". Rfam says of the family: Transfer RNA (tRNA) molecules are approximately 80 nucleotides in length. Lineage: Bacteria; Pseudomonadati; Myxococcota; Myxococcia. The record is from RNAcentral.
GGGCCUGUAGCUCAGCUGGUAGAGCAGGGGACUCUUAAUCCCUUGGUCGGGGGUUCGAAUCCCUCCAGGCCUACCA